GUGGUGGUGCUGCUGAUGUUGGUGGUGGUUCUGAAUCGGCACAUGAAAAGGCGAACUGGGACCGGGAUACACAGGGACCACGCCGUGAGCCGGGGCCAUCGCAAGUCGCGGCGGGGGGAGAUCGGGACGCGGCGGCGCCCGAGGGACGAACUCGGGCGCCUGAGCGUUGAGGCGGCUGAAGGAAGAGUUCCGAGAAAGGGAGGAGGGAUCGGAGGGAGUAGAGAGAUCGCCGGAAGGCAAAUCUAAAUCUAGGGUUUCUUGGGCCAUAGGGUUUGACUGGGGAGGGAUCUAGAAUCUGGAGUAAGGGUGUGUGCAGUGAAGGGAGAGA
Molecule: long non-coding RNA, 328 nt
Filed under: Vitis vinifera (wine grape)
Lineage: Eukaryota; Viridiplantae; Streptophyta; Magnoliopsida; Vitales; Vitaceae
Description: long non-coding RNA (VVIN_LNC001640)
Source: RNAcentral